CUUUGGGUGGAGCUGCAGUAGAGUUGGAGGUAGGAGCUGUAGUGGAGUCAAAGGGAGGAUCGAAGGUAGGAUCUGCAGUGGUGUUGGAGGUAGAAGCUGUAGUGGAGUCGGAGGUAGGAGCUGUAGUGGAGUCGAAGGGAGGAUCGAAGGUAGGAUCUGCAGUGGUGUUGGAGGUAGGAUCUGUAGUGGAGUCGGAGGUAGGAUCGAAGGUAGGAUCUGUAGUGGUGUUGGAGGUAGGAGCUGUAGUGGAGUCGGAGGUAGGAGCUGUAGUGGAGUCGAAGGGAGGAUCGAAGGUAGGAUCUGUAGUGGUGUUGGAGGUAGGAUCUGUAGUGGAGUCGGAGGUAGGAGCUGUAGUGGAGUCGAAGGGAGGAUCGAAGGUAGGAUCUGCAGUGGUGUUGGAGGUAGAAGCUGUAGUGGAGUCGGAGGUAGGAUCGAAGGUAGGAUCUGCAGUGUUAAUGCGAGCUAAAAUAAUUUUCAGGGUUAAUUAAUACAAUAAAGCUACAAUAACGCGUUAACUUGUCCAGUCCUAAUUUUUAUAAAAUCUAAAUCUAAAAUCAAGAGAAGUAUUGUAAUAUAACAUUUUAAUUUUCAUG
Cyprinus carpio carpio is the source of this 593-nucleotide long non-coding RNA. NCBI's taxonomy places the organism in Eukaryota, Metazoa, Chordata, Actinopteri, Cypriniformes, Cyprinidae. The record is from Ensembl.